This 225-nucleotide ribosomal RNA is filed under the name Triticum aestivum (bread wheat). RNAcentral describes it as "partial small subunit ribosomal RNA". The record is from RNAcentral. Lineage: Eukaryota; Viridiplantae; Streptophyta; Magnoliopsida; Poales; Poaceae.
AUGGCUGAUGCUAUGGGUAAACUCGACCAGAUGGUUGGCAUCCCAAUUGAAAGAAGGAUCCUUGCUGAGUUUUUCUGCAUCAUACAACCUGCCAUCGACUCUGAUAGACUCCUUUUGCUUGCAGAAAGGCUAACCUGGGGUCUUCUGCGCAUCUUAAAUGGUUUGAAGCUGCAUACAUGGUACCAUGGUCCGAAGGACCAAAAUCUGGACAGUGCAAAACUUUGA